CGGAAUUUCGUGUGACCAACAUAUUAGCAGUGCAGAUUUCGACUAUUCAUCUGAUUGCCAUUACUAUCGACAGGUCGGUAAUUACAACUUGUAAUGAAUCGGUCGCGCCUUCAUCACAAGAAGGAAUACGACGCGCGCACCACUUCCAUCGAAAAAUGUACCCCAGAAAAAUCCAAUAGGCGCACGUGGGUGUUCACAAACGCGGGAGUGUAAGCGUUAGCAUUAUAAAUGUAUAUGUUGCCUACCGACCAAUUUAUGCGAUCAAUGAGUCGGGUGAUAGAAAAUGAU
Molecule: long non-coding RNA, 288 nt
Organism: Ceratosolen solmsi marchali
Lineage: Eukaryota; Metazoa; Arthropoda; Insecta; Hymenoptera; Agaonidae
Exons: 3
Source: RefSeq, a predicted model, not a curated record